This is a long non-coding RNA of Saccostrea cuccullata (small rock oyster), 946 nucleotides long. RefSeq lists it as uncharacterized. The record is from RefSeq and is a predicted model, not a curated record. The transcript is spliced from 2 exons. NCBI's taxonomy places the organism in Eukaryota, Metazoa, Mollusca, Bivalvia, Ostreida, Ostreidae.
AUCGUCGCCAAGCCUAAUAUUCAGUAUUAAAAUCGGGACUGGGUGGUAACUCUAAAAAUUAACGUUACAUGUCGAUGCGGAUGGCUAUGAUCGAUAUAUAUUCCACCAGGGUCGAUCGCACUUACUAGAUUUAUUAAAUAACUAAUAUUUUAACACGUUUUUUCUAUACCCUGCAAUUAUCCGAACAUUUGCUGAGCGAUCUGUCCAUCUGUGAAUGUGAUCUGACAAGUGAUUAUUUUUCCGGAUUUGGUUUUGUAGAUUAGUUUAAACAUUCAACUUCCAGUUAAGAAAAACACUUUAUGUUUACUUUCAGUUUUAGUCCACUAAUUGAUUAAAUAUUUUAUUACCUGUGAAUCGAUUUCAUAAAAGACGAAGACACAGUGAAUAUCAAGCUAAACAUGACAGGACUUACGGGAUGAAACCAGGACCUUAGGGAACAGCCAUUGCCAAGGGAAAUGAACCACUAGUAUCUCUAGGGACUCACAGCAUUCUGGACUUUCAAGAAAUUUAUUGUGAAAGUGAUGUGAGGAACAGCCAUUUAUAUGGAAGUGAUUCAUUCCAAGUGCAAGUCAUGCAUCAUUUCCAGGAGCCAAUAAUUUUCCUCUUACCGCAGACAUUAAGCAAUAAUGUGAAUUUAUAGAAUCUGGUACGGCUGUCCGUUUCUUUCCAGCUGAGAUGUGCGUAAACGAGCGGCACUAAGUAACUAUCCUUAUAUGCAGUCAUGUAACUCAUGAAAGUUGAAAAGUAAACUUUGGAUUUAGAUAUACAUAAAUAAGUGCUUGACCUCUGCACCUCCCAGGGUCAAGGCUUUUACCACUUUCUGAUAUGGUGUUUGUGAACUUUGACCUUUGAACUUUGAACAGAGACACCAAUAGCUUUUCAUAAUUUGUGUCUCUGGAUAAACAGCCGUGCCCAAUUAUCGCCACAAUAAAAUUUAUUAAAUACA